GAGUUUGAUCUUGGCUCAGGACGAACGCUGGCGGCGUGCUUAACACAUGCAAGUCGAACGAGAUCCAUCUGUGCUUGCACAGUGAAGAUCUAGUGGCGAACGGGUGAGGAACACGUGAAGAACCUGUCCCAAGGAGAGGGAUAACAGUGGGAAACUAUUGCUAAUACCUCAUGUCGUUAAUUGAUCACCUGGUUGAUUAAUGAAAUGAAUUUCGCUUUGGGAGGGCUUCGCGGCCUAUCAGCUUGUUGGUGAGGUAACAGCUCACCAAGGCUACGACGGGUAGCUGGUCUGAGAGGACGACCAGCCACACUGGGACUGAGACACGGCCCAGACUCCUACGGGAGGCAGCAGUGGGGAAUAUUGCGCAAUGGGCGAAAGCCUGACGCAGCAACGCCGCGUGCGGGAUGAAGACCUUCGGUUGUAAGUACUACUGUCGGAGGGGAAGGAACGAAC
This 453-nucleotide ribosomal RNA is filed under the name uncultured bacterium. RNAcentral describes it as "bacterial SSU rRNA". It matches the Rfam family "Bacterial small subunit ribosomal RNA", at positions 9 to 455 of the family's 1533-position model. The record is from RNAcentral.